This 1111-nucleotide ribosomal RNA is filed under the name uncultured organism. RNAcentral's name for it is "bacterial SSU rRNA". It matches the Rfam family "Bacterial small subunit ribosomal RNA", at positions 138 to 1284 of the family's 1533-position model. The record is from RNAcentral.
CGGGGAUAACGGAUGGAAACGUGCGCGAGUACCCGAUAGGGUCCCAGGUUCAAAGCUGGGAUGAAAGCUUUGGUGCUCAAUGAGGGGCUCGCGGUCCAUCAGCUAGUUGGUGAGGUAACGGCUCACCAAUGCGAAGACGGGUAGGGGGUGUGAGAGCACGGCCCCCCACAAUGGGAGUGAGACACGGCCCAUACUCCUACGGGAGGCAGCAGCAGGGAAUAUUGCACACUGGACGGAAGUCUGAUGCAGCGACGCCGCGUGGAUGAUGAAGGCCUUCGUGUUGUAAAAUCCUUUACGGGGUGACGAUGAAGGACGGUAGCCCCGGAACAAGCGUCGGCUAACUACGUGCCACCAGCCGCGGUAAGACUUAGGACGCAAGCGUUAUCCGGAUUAACUGUGCGUAAAGCGUCUGUAGGCGGAUGAGUAACUUGGGCUUGAAAGCUCUGGUCUCAAGCCUGAGAGGCCGUUCAAUACUGCUGAUCUAUAGGAGGCCAGAGGGGAUUGUCAUUCCUGGAGUAGCGGUACAAUGCUCCUAUAUCAGGAAGAACACCAGUGGCGAAGGCGGCUCCAUAGGGCCCACCUGACGCUGAGAGACGACAGCUAGGGGAGCGAACAGGAUUAGAGACCCUGGUAGUCCUAGCCGUAUACGAUGGAUGCUAGGUGUAGGCCCGUAGAGGCUAUGUGCCGGAGCGAACGCGAUAAGCAUCCCGCCUGGGGAGUACGGCCGCAAGGUUAAAACUCAAACGAAUUGACGGGGACCCGCACAAGCAGCGGAGCGUGUGGUUUAAUUCGAUGCUACACGAAGAACCUUACCUGGGUUUGACAUGGGCGUGGUAGUGAAGCUGAAAUCGGAGCGACCCUUCGGGGAGCGUCCACAGUUUUUGACAUGGCUAUCGUCAGAUCGUGCCGUGAGGUGUCGGGUUAAGUCCCGUUACGAGCGCAACCCUUGCCCUUAGUGACAAGUGUCUAAGGGGACUGCCGUCGGGAAGCCGGAGGAAGGUGGGGAUGACGUCAAGUCAGCAUGGCCCUUAUAUCCAGGGCUACACACACGCUACAAUGGCCGGUACAGAGGGCAGCGAAGCCGCGAGGUGGAGCGAAUCCCAGAAAGCCG